UUUUGUCAUCCAAAAUUAAUUAAAACUCAAACGAGCCAAUCUCGAGGGAUAUUGUUUACACAUGUGAUAUGAUGCGGUUCGGUACGGAUUUUCCGCGCCAAAUUAUUCGCUUUUACAUUAGCACUUCGAGAAAUUAAAGAUAAAGAAAAAUUUGUGAGUUCUUCCUUGUCGCUUUGCAAUUCCUCCAAAUACACAGAAAAUGCCGGCCAUUCGGUUGGACAAUUUUAUGAAUUAUGAGUUAGAAAUUUAGAAUAUAAUUCUC
RNAcentral lists this small RNA (262 nucleotides) under Arabidopsis thaliana (thale cress). Its description in RNAcentral is "ATSL293990". The record is from RNAcentral. Lineage: Eukaryota; Viridiplantae; Streptophyta; Magnoliopsida; Brassicales; Brassicaceae.